RNAcentral lists this ribosomal RNA (511 nucleotides) under uncultured Burkholderia sp. RNAcentral's name for it is "bacterial SSU rRNA". It matches the Rfam family "Bacterial small subunit ribosomal RNA", at positions 149 to 653 of the family's 1533-position model. The record is from RNAcentral. Lineage: Bacteria; Pseudomonadati; Pseudomonadota; Betaproteobacteria; Burkholderiales; Burkholderiaceae.
CUGCGAAAGCCGGAUUAAUACCGCAUACGCUCUGCGGAGGAAAGCGGGGGAUCCUUCGGGACCUCGCGCUACAGGGGCGGCCGAUGGCAGAUUAGCUAGUUGGUGGGGUAAAGGCCUACCAAGGCGACGAUCUGUAGCUGGUCUGAGAGGACGACCAGCCACACUGGGACUGAGACACGGCCCAGACUCCUACGGGAGGCAGCAGUGGGGAAUUUUGGACAAUGGGCGCAAGCCUGAUCCAGCAAUGCCGCGUGUGUGAAGAAGGCCUUCGGGUUGUAAAGCACUUUUGUCCGGAAAGAAAACCUCGUGGUUAAUACCCGUGGGGGAUGACGGUACCGGAAGAAUAAGCACCGGCUAACUACGCGCCAGCAGCCGCGGUAAUACGUAGGGUGCAAGCGUUAAUCGGAAUUACUGGGCGUAAAGCGUGCGCAGGCGGUUCGCUAAGACAGAUGUGAAAUCCCCGGGCUUAACCUGGGAACUGCAUUUGUGACUGGCGAGCUAGAGUAUGGCA